Triticum urartu is the source of this 74-nucleotide non-coding RNA. The record is from Rfam. Lineage: Eukaryota; Viridiplantae; Streptophyta; Magnoliopsida; Poales; Poaceae.
GGUCUUGUAGUUCAAUUGGUUAGAGCAUCGGUCUUAUAUGCCGCAGGUUGAGGGUUCAAGCCCCUCCGGGACCA